GAGCAACUGAAUAUAUUAUACACCGUAGCACGGCCUCCUGGGGGUUGCAAUAUAGAAUCUGUUUACUUUGACUGACACUUUUCAUUUUUCUUUUCUUCCAGACAUUAUUGCUGCAAAUGAUAUCUCUCCUCAAUAUGGAGUUGUUCCUCAAAAAAAUGUUUAGAUAUUUGGAUAAACAUCUUCUGAACAAGUUCUUUUAUGAUGAUGAUGAUGAUGACUUUUGGAAACAAUCCAUCAGUAAUGUAGCAGACGGGCAACACAAUGAGUAAAAGCAAGCAGACCUGAAUUAUAUUAGUACAUCAUCUUACAUGGAGGUGGGAUUUCCAGAACUUUUCUCCAAGCUUGAAGAGAGGAUAGUUCCCUGUUUGUCUCUUUCUGUUGAAGGGGAGAUACACAUAAUAUGCAGUUAUACGAUCCCAUGUCCCACAGCAUCAGCAGCACAUCAAGUAUUGGCAAUGAAGUGCUACUGUGAGAGCUCUUGCAUUUGUGGAGGCUGCAACAAC
RNAcentral lists this long non-coding RNA (503 nucleotides) under Cairina moschata (Muscovy duck). RNAcentral's name for it is "domestica (muscovy Duck (domestic type)) lncRNA (ENSCMMG00000014917.1)". Lineage: Eukaryota; Metazoa; Chordata; Aves; Anseriformes; Anatidae. The record is from RNAcentral.